ACAGCCGUUGCACACGAGUCAGUCGAUCCUAAGCCCCAGGAGAAUUCCGAUGUUGAUGCGCGUCGCUGUAAAAUUCUUGAUGAUGAAAAUCUCGAAUGACCGCAUCGGGCGAAAGGGAAUCCGGUUCCUAUUCCGGAACCCGGCAGCGGAACCGACCAUGCGGGCCAAUCCGUAGCGAUACGGAACUCGUCGGGGUAACCCAAAAGGACCCGGAGACGCCGUCGGAUGAUCGAGGCAGAGUUAUCUGUUCUGUAUGAGCGUUCGAGUUCCCUGGAAUCGCCUAGCGCGGAGAUAGGGUUUGGAACGCG
RNAcentral lists this ribosomal RNA (308 nucleotides) under Gammarus pulex. RNAcentral's name for it is "eukaryotic LSU rRNA". It matches the Rfam family "Eukaryotic large subunit ribosomal RNA", at positions 1517 to 1758 of the family's 3401-position model. Lineage: Eukaryota; Metazoa; Arthropoda; Malacostraca; Amphipoda; Gammaridae. The record is from RNAcentral.